GAAAUGCGAUAAGUAAUGUGAAUUGCAGAAUUCCGUGAAUCAUCGAAUCUUUGAACGCACAUUGCGCCCUCUGGUAUUCCGGGGGGCAUGCCUGUCCGAGCGUCAUUGCACACCCUCAAGCGCGGCUUGUGUGUUGGGCCCCCGCGUCCUUGCCAUUUAAAGGACGGGCCCGAAAGGCAGUGGCGGCACCAUGUCUGGUCCUCGAGCGUAUGGGGCUUUGUCACCCGCUCCCGUAGGUCCAGCUGGCAGCUAGCCUCGCAACCAAUCUUUUUAACCAGGUUGACCUCGGAUCAGGUAGGGAUACCCGCUGAACUUAAGC
This 319-nucleotide unclassified non-coding RNA is filed under the name plant metagenome. RNAcentral describes it as "partial contains 5.8S ribosomal RNA, internal transcribed spacer 2, and large subunit ribosomal RNA". The stretch from base 1 to 105 matches the Rfam family "5.8S ribosomal RNA", at positions 50 to 154 of the family's 154-position model. The record is from RNAcentral.